This is a long non-coding RNA of Cyanistes caeruleus (blue tit), 592 nucleotides long. The record is from Ensembl. Lineage: Eukaryota; Metazoa; Chordata; Aves; Passeriformes; Paridae.
CCCGCCCACACUGACCACCGGACUUCAGCCCCUGCCCCUGUAGAACCAUGAAAACCCACACUCCUUAACGACAAAUACUAAUACCAUUAAUUAGGAACAUAUGUUAAAUAACAAUCAACUUAUAAGCAAAUAUUAACAAUUAAUCAACCUGUGAUAACCAUUGAUUUACUUUUAAUUCUGCCUGCACAACAAAGUGGUUUUCAGCGCUUAAGCCUGUCAUCAUCUGUGCCAGCCCAUGCUGCAGAGACCCACAGGGGGAGUAUGAGCUUCUCCCUUCCGACACGGAGCAACCUCAGGCAGAGCAAAGAGGUGCCUUCUUCUUUGUGGCUCACCCCACUGAACAUGCCCAGCUGUCAAGAUACACCAGACUGUGAAUGAAUCGGCAGCUGCACAAAUUACUUAAAAAGAAGAAUUUGCCACCAGAGCAAGAAGCUGUGAAGUCUGCAAAACAAUUCUCCCUUGUGUAUUUAAACAUGAGUAGACAAACUGCACAGUACAUCUCUGACAGAGAAGCUGACAGAGAAGCUGAGCCUAAAAAGCAAAGAGAGCACAUCUUUUACAAUGUGGUGAUGCACAGGUGGGAGAAAGGCCU